Molecule: ribosomal RNA, 253 nt
Filed under: uncultured prokaryote
Description: partial 16S ribosomal RNA
Rfam family: Bacterial small subunit ribosomal RNA
Source: RNAcentral
ACGAAGGGGGCUAGCGUUGUUCGGAAUUACUGGGCGUAAAGCGCACGUAGGCGGAUUUGUAAGUCAGGGGUGAAAUCCCGGGGCUCAACCUCGGAACUGCCUUUGAUACUGCAAGUCUUGAGUCCGGAAGAGGUGAGUGGAAUUCCUAGUGUAGAGGUGAAAUUCGUAGAGAUAUGGAAGAACACCAGCGGCGAAGGCGCUCUACUGGGCCAAGACUGACACUGAGAAACGAAAGCUGGGGGAGCGAAAAGGA